CGAUGUCUGCUGCUGGCGCUUGGGUGGUCGGCUCCGGGGUGUCCGAAGUUUUUCCCAGAGUGGCGUCCUUUGUGGUCUGGCGUUGUCCGCUGGUUUUCUGGAUUGCGCUCAUGCUUCGGGUAGGCUGAUGCCCAGUGCGGCAGCGAAGGGCGCCAUUUUUGAGGUAUCUUGCAGGACGUGGGUACUAUCAUGUUGGCGGACUAGUAGCUUGAAGGGGUGUCCCCAUCGGUAUGGUAUGUUGGCUUGUGCCAGUGCGCUGGUUAGGGGUUUGAGCUCUCUGCGUUUCAUUAAUGUGGUAGGUGAGACGUCUUGGUAAAACUGAAGAGUGAUGGCGUCAAAUUUUGGCGGAGUUUUUCGUGUGGCCGCCAUGAUGGCUUCUUUAAAGGUAAAGUAGUGAAGGCGUACUAUGACGUCUCGGGGCGCUAUUUGGUUUUGGCUAGGGGGUUUGAGGGCUCUGUGCGCCCGGUCUAUGGCGAGGUCUUGUGGCGUUGCCUCUGGAAGGAUUGUAAGAAACAAUUCACGCAGCGUGGAGAGCAGCAUAUCAGGCGUGACUGUUUCGGGGAGGCCUCUAAUCCUUAUGUUGUUACGCCUAGAGCGAUUAUUUAAGUCUUCCAUACCUGUCUCUAAUUCUUCCACUUUGUUCCUCAGUGUAGUGAGCUCAGCUUGGUGCAUAUUGAGGUUUUCAAGGAGUUCAUCUGCCCUCUGCUCCACCUGCCCUGUCCUCUCCCCCAGGUCAGCCAGGUCAGCCUUCAGGAGUUGCAGCUGUUUUCCAAUUUCUGCCGCCAUAUGUGUCUUUAUAUCUGCUGCAGCUUCUUGCAGCAGUAGUUGCAGGUCCCUCUUGGUGAUCGGUGUGGAAGCUGAGCCUGCUGCCUCACUGCGGUCUGAGUCGGAUGCAGAGUCUUCCCGCUGUUGUGGGGAAGAUGGCGUCUGGCCUCGUGGUUGCCGGAAC
Non-coding RNA from Pelobates cultripes (western spadefoot toad), 949 nucleotides. The record is from the annotation of a GenBank genome assembly. Lineage: Eukaryota; Metazoa; Chordata; Amphibia; Anura; Pelobatidae.